UGAGGCUGCACCUUCAGCAGGGGGACAGGGAGAGCCACCAGUGGGAACAAUGAAGGUGGAGACUAAAAAACGUAGACACAUUUUUUCAAUAUUAAGGGGAAUUUGUCAGACGACAACUGUAACCCCUCAGCACACAGAGAGACCUUCAACUUCUGAGGGUCCUUCUACAAAGACAACCAAAAUACAAACAAA
Molecule: long non-coding RNA, 192 nt
Organism: Grammomys surdaster
Lineage: Eukaryota; Metazoa; Chordata; Mammalia; Rodentia; Muridae
Exons: 3
Source: RefSeq, a predicted model, not a curated record